Molecule: non-coding RNA, 275 nt
Organism: Biomphalaria pfeifferi
Lineage: Eukaryota; Metazoa; Mollusca; Gastropoda; Planorbidae
Source: the annotation of a GenBank genome assembly
UGGGUGGAGGGGGGGGGGGGGUACUUGGAAGAAGUUUUUUUUUUACUAGUUGGACCUUGAGCCUUUUUGAUAGGUAGCCAAGCAGUUUAAGCCUUUCAACCAAACAUCCCACUCUAAUUUUAUGGGGCUGAUAAUAGUUCACUGUAUAUUAAUUCUAAACCAACCAAAUAAUUAUGAAAAAGUAUGUAUAAUUACAAGGUAUUGAUUUUAUUAAAAAUUCAUACUCAUAUGUAUUCAAAGAUUAAAAGCAACAGAAAAAAAGAAUUAUAUACAAA